GCGGGUAUAGUUCAUCGGUAGAACGUCAGCUUCCCAAGCUGAACAGGAGGGUUCGACUCCCUUUAUCCGCUCCA
This 74-nucleotide transfer RNA is filed under the name Clostridiales bacterium. RNAcentral describes it as "tRNA-Gly". It matches the Rfam family "tRNA". From Rfam's summary of the family: Transfer RNA (tRNA) molecules are approximately 80 nucleotides in length. Their secondary structure includes four short double-helical elements and three loops (D, anti-codon, and T loops). The record is from RNAcentral. RNAcentral also lists the same sequence under 2 other names. Lineage: Bacteria; Bacillati; Bacillota; Clostridia; Eubacteriales.